AUGGCCUCGCGGCUGGCAGGGAGCUCCGGCGCGGCGAAGAAAGGGCGUUCGCCGGGGGCGGGGCAAGGUGGAAGGCAGCGCGGCCCCUCCCGGCGGAUCGAAGGUGGUGCAUUGGGGAAUGGAGUGAGCAUGGGCGGCAUCGACUUGGCCAAUGAUGAUGUGAAGUGCGGCCAACGACGACUUGCAGUACGACCAAUGAUGGCGUGCAGUGUCGCCACCAGCAGCACCUCAGACGUGGGGGCCACGCCGUGCUCCUCCAGUCUGCCGGAGACGCGAAAGGAGCAGCUCCUCUGCCAACGGUAG
RNAcentral lists this ribosomal RNA (303 nucleotides) under Triticum aestivum (bread wheat). Its description in RNAcentral is "partial small subunit ribosomal RNA". Lineage: Eukaryota; Viridiplantae; Streptophyta; Magnoliopsida; Poales; Poaceae. The record is from RNAcentral.